AGAAUAUAAGAACCCGUCUCUUAACUUUUAACUAAAAAAGUUAAGAACCGGUUCUUAGCUUUUUUAGUUAAAAAUUAAGAGACGGGUUCUUAUAUUCU
Molecule: non-coding RNA, 98 nt
Organism: Brassica napus (rape)
Lineage: Eukaryota; Viridiplantae; Streptophyta; Magnoliopsida; Brassicales; Brassicaceae
Source: Rfam